Molecule: transfer RNA, 73 nt
Filed under: Ovis aries (sheep)
Lineage: Eukaryota; Metazoa; Chordata; Mammalia; Artiodactyla; Bovidae
Rfam family: tRNA
About the family: Transfer RNA (tRNA) molecules are approximately 80 nucleotides in length.
Source: Rfam by way of RNAcentral
UCCCUGGUGGUCAAGUGGGUAAGACACUGUGCUCACAAGGUAGGGGAUCUAGGUUCGAUCCCUGGGCAGGGAA